CCUUUCAGCAAGUUGGUUCUAGCUUGCUGCUCCGCAACCGCACAAGCGUCCGGCCUCUACAAGUAAUCCACGCAAGGCUUCUGGACAACCGAUGUCCCGGGGAGUGCUAGCUUGCAGGGAUGCAGCAGGUGGCCGAGAGAGAGGGAGAGAACUACGAGGAACAGGACUAGCUACCCUUUCCUUCAAUCUUUUCUUUUUCCUUUCUUUUUCUUACAACAUGAACUCUCAAAGCUCACUUCACUCUUUCCCAACCGGUGUCAAAACACUAAAUACUCUAAGCCAG
Molecule: long non-coding RNA, 283 nt
Filed under: Phoenix dactylifera (date palm)
Lineage: Eukaryota; Viridiplantae; Streptophyta; Magnoliopsida; Arecales; Arecaceae
Description: long non-coding RNA (PDAC_LNC014630)
Source: RNAcentral